RNAcentral lists this ribosomal RNA (460 nucleotides) under uncultured bacterium. RNAcentral's name for it is "partial 16S ribosomal RNA". It matches the Rfam family "Bacterial small subunit ribosomal RNA", at positions 338 to 795 of the family's 1533-position model. The record is from RNAcentral.
CCUACGGGUGGCAGCAGUGAGGAAUAUUGGUCAAUGGGCGAGAGCCUGAACCAGCCAAGUCGCGUGAGGGAAGACGGUCCUACGGAUUGUAAACCUCUUUUGUCAGGGAGCAAGGAGCGCCACGAGUGGUGCGGCGAGAGUACCUGAAGAAAAAGCAUCGGCUAACUCCGUGCCCGCAGCCGCGGUAAUACGGAGGAAGCGAGCGUGAUCCGGCGUUAUUGGGUGUAAAGGGAGCGUAGACGGCAGUGCAAGUCCGGAGUGAAAGCCCGGGGCUCAACCCUGGGACUGCUCUGGAAACUGUAAAGCUGGAGUGCGGGAGGGGCAGGCGGAAUUCCUGGUGUAGUGGUGAAAUGCGUAGAUAUCAGGAGGAACACCGGCGGCGAAGGCGGCCUGCUGGACCGUAACUGACGUUGAGGCUCGAAAGCGUGGGGAGCAAACAGGAUUAGAUACCCCAGUAGUC